This is a non-coding RNA of Vulpes vulpes (red fox), 225 nucleotides long. Ensembl annotates it as small Cajal body-specific RNA 6. The record is from Ensembl. Lineage: Eukaryota; Metazoa; Chordata; Mammalia; Carnivora; Canidae.
AGUCAGUGAUGAAUACUGAAAGGUCUGACUCCCAGGGUCUCCUCCUUGCACCUUUGGCAUCCCACUGGGCUCCAGUAGUGCUGCGGUGGGCAGAAGGGCUGCUGGUGCUGGGAGACGCCCCAGUUCUGUGUUCCUUGGCUAGCACCCCGCAGCUAGCCACGAAAAGAUUUGAUUGUUGGGAGUGCUGGUAUCUGUGGUUAUGGUCUGACAUUUCAAGCUGAGACC